ACGUUCGGGUAAUCGCUGCAAUAAGCUUAAUGCGAAUUGUUGAGGAAAGUCCAUGCUCGCACAGGCUGAGAUGCCUGUAGUGUUCGUGCCUAGCGAAACGAUAAGCUAGGGCAGUUGGGUGUAAACCAGCUGACGGCCGGGAAAAUACCUAAGUCCUUCUCGGAUAUGGUAUGAAUACCUAUAAAAGUGCCACAGUGACGUAGCCUUUCCAGAAAUGGAAAGGGUGGAACGGGUAAACCCCACGAGCGAGAAACCCAAAUAAUGGUAGGGGCGCUUUCUCUGAGGAAUUGAACGAGGAGAAGGACAGAUUCCUAAGUGAAUCUGUAGAUAGAUGAUUACCACCUAAGUACGAGACGAAAGUCGUUUGCAGUACUAUGGUACAGAACAUGGCUUACAGAA
This 399-nucleotide RNase P RNA is filed under the name Bacillus sp. S3. Its description in RNAcentral is "RNase P RNA component class B". It matches the Rfam family "Bacterial RNase P class B". From Rfam's summary of the family: Ribonuclease P (RNase P) is a ubiquitous endoribonuclease, found in archaea, bacteria and eukarya as well as chloroplasts and mitochondria. Its best characterised activity is the generation of mature 5'-ends of tRNAs by cleaving the 5'-leader elements of precursor-tRNAs. Lineage: Bacteria; Bacillati; Bacillota; Bacilli; Caryophanales; Bacillaceae. The record is from RNAcentral.